Molecule: ribosomal RNA, 253 nt
Filed under: uncultured bacterium
Lineage: Bacteria
Description: partial 16S ribosomal RNA
Rfam family: Bacterial small subunit ribosomal RNA
Source: RNAcentral
UACGAAGGGGGCUAGCGUUGCUCGGAAUCACUGGGCGUAAAGGGUGCGUAGGCGGGGCUUUAAGUCAGGGGUGAAAUCCUGGAGCUCAACUCCAGAACUGCCUUUGAUACUGAAGAUCUUGAGUUCGGGAGAGGUGAGUGGAACUGCGAGUGUAGAGGUGAAAUUCGUAGAUAUUCGCAAGAACACCAGUGGCGAAGGCGGCUCACUGGCCCGAUACUGACGCUGAGGCACGAAAGCCAGGGGAGCAAACGGG